RNAcentral lists this long non-coding RNA (609 nucleotides) under Homo sapiens (human). RNAcentral describes it as "HSALNT0348583". Lineage: Eukaryota; Metazoa; Chordata; Mammalia; Primates; Hominidae. The record is from RNAcentral.
CAGGCAGGUCUCAUCUUAUUUGGAUGCCUGUUGUAAGCUUGUAAUCCGCUCUGUUGGCCACCACAGCUCCUCCAUUUGAUGACGACGGGCCAUUUGUUCCAGGCCUUUGGAAAAAACACUGAGAAAGCAUUUCAGGUAUCUGCCAUGGAAAAUACCAUCAAGUGGGACACCCGCAGCGAUCUCUGUACCCACAAAAGUCACACUUGCUAUCCUUGGUGAAUUUUCCUUAAAAACUGUGGAUGAACUUCCAGUGACUGCGUAAAUAAGACCCCCAGGAUGAAGGUCAUGUAACCUGAGCAUGCCCAGAUGAACCAAGUGUGCAAUCACAGGGGGAACCUAAGUGCCCAGACUGAGGAGCAGAGACUGAAUUAAGAAGCAGACACUGCAUGUCAGGAUCCAGGAUCCAAUCAGAUCGAGCUCUGGCAUUGCCCCACGGUCGAUAGCAGGAUCCAGUCAGAUCAUGCCUCCCAGCAUCACUUCAUUGCAAGAUCCAACCAGAUCACACCUCAUUACCCUAUGUUUAUAAAACCUGACCCAAACCCAGCUUGGGGAGACACACUGGGGCAUUUCCUCCUGUCUCCUUGCCAAAUAAAGAAUUUUUGCUCAAAA